CAUUUACAUAUCCAGCACCUCCAUUACCCUUUCUCCUCAGUACACUGAGCACAGCUUCACCAUCAUUAACGCCACCAUUAACUCCUAAUUCUCCAUCUCUCUCUAUCUUAUCUUUAUUCUUAUCAAGAACAGUAACCCUAGAAGAUAAGAUUUAGAGAGGUAGAGUUAGCUGUACAAUUGAGGGAACAUCGAUUUAAUGAAGUUGCAGGGAAACUGAAGGCAGAGAAAUUCAAUGGAGUAUUGUUGGUACCCGUGACAUCUCUGUACAAACCAAGGGAAAGAAGGAGAAAAAGGAGCAGAGUUAUUAUGGCGAAACCCGGUACUCAACGAAAACUUCAACUCAACGAGUUGGAAGAGUUGAGAAAUGAUGCUUAUGACAGUGCUAAAUUGUACAAGAACAAAAUGAAAGUGUUCCAUGACAAGCGUAUUUUGCGUAAGUCAUUUACUCCUGGCCAAAAGGUUUUGUUGUACAACUCUCGCUUACAUCUUUUUCCAGGUAAAUUGCGUUCUCGAUGGUAAGGACCAUUUGUGGAACGUACUGUAUUCCCUCAUGGAGAUGUAGAACUCGAAGAUGUAGCAAAUCAUAACGUCUUCAAAGUCAAUGGUCAGAGAUAGAAACCAUUCCUGGAGCCACUUCCACCAGAUGAGACCAUUGACUUGGAAGAUCCUGUUUAUGUGGACUAAACCGGUUCACUUGUGUACAUACUUAUGGAUUAACCGUCCAUUUUCUUUCCCUUUUCUUUUCAUUCCGUAUAGUAUCUUUUAUGUGUGCUAACCAAUCUUUUUGUCUUAUUGAUAAUGUUGUUUGCUUUCAAAAGCAUUCAUCCAUUUAUGGUUUAGCACCAUCAUGUAUGCAUACGGUAAUAUCUUUCCUUUAGUCCACUCUGCACUGUUCUCCUGGUAUGUUCAUGUAAUUUCAAUCAUAUUCUGAAACAUUGAGGACAAUGUUAGAUUUAGG
This is a long non-coding RNA of Papaver somniferum (opium poppy), 958 nucleotides long. RefSeq lists it as uncharacterized. NCBI's taxonomy places the organism in Eukaryota, Viridiplantae, Streptophyta, Magnoliopsida, Ranunculales, Papaveraceae. The record is from RefSeq and is a predicted model, not a curated record. The transcript is spliced from 3 exons.